UACGGAGGGUGCGAGCGUUAAUCGGAAUUACUGGGCGUAAAGCGCACGCAGGCGGUUUGUUAAGCUAGAUGUGAAAGCCCCGGGCUCAACCUGGGAUGGUCAUUUAGAACUGGCAGACUAGAGUCUUGGAGAGGGGAGUGGAAUUCCAGGUGUGCGGUGAAAUGCGUAGAUAUCUGGAGGAACAUCAGUGGCGAAGGCGACUCCCUGGCCAAAGACUGACGCUCAUGUGCGAAAGUGUGGGUAGCGAACAGG
RNAcentral lists this ribosomal RNA (252 nucleotides) under uncultured bacterium. Its description in RNAcentral is "partial 16S ribosomal RNA". It matches the Rfam family "Bacterial small subunit ribosomal RNA", at positions 524 to 776 of the family's 1533-position model. The record is from RNAcentral.